AUUGAACGCUGGCGGCAGGCCUAACACAUGCAAGUCGAACGGUAACAGGAAGAAGCUUGCUUCUUUGCUGACGAGUGGCGGACGGGUGAGUAAUGUCUGGGAAACUGCCUGAUGGAGGGGGAUAACUACUGGAAACGGUAGCUAAUACCGCAUAACGCCGCAAAACCAAAGAGGGGGACCUUCGGGCCUCUUGCCAUCGGAUGUGCCCAGAUGGGAUUAGCUAGUAGGUGGGGUAACGGCUCACCUAGGCGACGAUCCCUAGCUGGUCUGAGAGGAUGACCAGCCACACUGGAACUGAGACACGGUCCAGACUCCUACGGGAGGCAGCAGUGGGGAAUAUUGCACAAUGGGCGCAAGCCUGAUGCAGCCAUGCCGCGUGUAUGAAGAAGGCCUUCGGGUUGUAAAGUACUUUCAGCGGGGAGGAAGGGAGUAAAGUUAAUACCUUUGCUAAUUGACGUUACCCGCAGAAGAAGCACCGGCUAACUCCGUG
RNAcentral lists this ribosomal RNA (490 nucleotides) under uncultured bacterium. RNAcentral's name for it is "partial 16S ribosomal RNA". It matches the Rfam family "Bacterial small subunit ribosomal RNA", at positions 30 to 507 of the family's 1533-position model. The record is from RNAcentral.